UGAGGUAGUAGAUUGUAUAGUUC
This 23-nucleotide non-coding RNA is filed under the name Gallus gallus (chicken). RNAcentral also lists the same sequence under 2 other names. Lineage: Eukaryota; Metazoa; Chordata; Aves; Galliformes; Phasianidae. The record is from RNAcentral.